Molecule: ribosomal RNA, 491 nt
Filed under: uncultured bacterium
Lineage: Bacteria
Description: partial 16S ribosomal RNA
Rfam family: Bacterial small subunit ribosomal RNA
Source: RNAcentral
GAUGAACGCUGGCUACAGGCUUAACACAUGCAAGUCGAGGGGAAACGACGGGGAAGCUUGCUUCCCCGGGCGUCGACCGGCGCACGGGUGAGUAACGCGUAUCCAACCUGCCUCUGACUGAGGGAUAACCCGUCGAAAGUCGGCCUAAUACCUCAUGGCAUCGUCUGCGGGCAUCCAACGACGAUUAAAGAUUUCAUCGGUCAGAGAUGGGGAUGCGUCUGAUUAGCUUGUUGGCGGGGUAACGGCCCACCAAGGCGACGAUCAGUAGGGGUUCUGAGAGGAAGGUCCCCCACAUUGGAACUGAGACACGGUCCAAACUCCUACGGGAGGCAGCAGUGAGGAAUAUUGGUCAAUGGGCGAGAGCCUGAACCAGCCAAGUAGCGUGCAGGAUGACGGCCCUAUGGGUUGUAAACUGCUUUUAGGCGGGGAGAAAGUGAGGGACGUGUCCUUCAUUGCAGGUACCGCAUGAAUAAGGACCGGCUAAUUCCGUG